Manihot esculenta (cassava) is the source of this 1641-nucleotide RNA transcript. It is a transcript of the gene named 26S proteasome non-ATPase regulatory subunit 6 homolog, with no coding region annotated. The record is from RefSeq and is a predicted model, not a curated record. The transcript is spliced from 9 exons. NCBI's taxonomy places the organism in Eukaryota, Viridiplantae, Streptophyta, Magnoliopsida, Malpighiales, Euphorbiaceae.
CCAACUUCGGUUUCUCCUUGCUCAAGCAAAACCCCCAGAAAAAAGAAGCUCGCGAAAGCUCACGAAUCUAACUCACUGAGUCAUCCGCAAUGGAAGGGCAAGAGGGAACUCAGCAACCGCACCUCGUGCUUGCACACAAGCGCUUCCUCCUUACCCAUCCCGAUGUCCAAGACAUUGAAAAGGUUCGCCUCAAGGAGGAGGUCUUUGCGGCUGUCAAGGCUGACGAUAUGGUGCCGUUGUACGAAACCCUAGUGGGCGAAGGGUUACUGGAGAAGGAUCUGAGCGUUUUGGAGUCGAUGCGUGCGAAGAAUGAGGAGGAGCUCAAGAGGCUUGAGGAGAAGAUUGCUGAUGCUGAAGAAAACUUAGGUGAAAGUGAAGUUCGAGAAGCUCAUUUGGCCAAAUCUUUGUUCUACAUUCGAACUGGUGACAAGGAUAAAGCAUUGGAGCAACUAAAGGUGACAGAAAGCAAAACAGUUGCAGUUGGGCAAAAGAUGGACUUGGUAUUCUAUACUUUACAGCUUGGCUUUUUCUACAUGGAUUUUGAUCUCAUUUCCAAGAGCAUUGAUAAAGCAAAGAACUUGUUUGAAGAGGGAGGUGAUUGGGAAAGGAAGAACCGAUUGAAGGUCUAUGAGGGCUUGUAUUUCAUGUCCACUCGAAAUUUCAAGAAGGCAGCUAAAUUGUUUCUGGAUUCCAUUUCCACAUUCACUACCUAUGAACUUUUCCCUUAUGACACUUUCAUAUUUUACACUGUACUUACAAGCAUAAUAUCAUUGGAUAGAGUUUCCCUGAAGCAAAAGGUAGUGGAUGCUCCUGAGAUCUUGACGGUGAUUGGGAAAAUCCCAUACCUUUCUGAGUUUUUAAAUUCCUUAUAUGAUUGUCAGUACAAAUCAUUUUUCUCCGCAUUUGCUGGCCUCACAGAGCAAAUUAAACUUGAUCGCUAUUUGCAUCCACACUUCCGAUAUUACAUGAGGGAGGUCAGAACUGUUGUCUAUUCUCAGUUUUUAGAAUCCUACAAGAGUGUUACCAUUGAAGCAAUGGCAAAGGCGUUUGGUGUGACAGUGGAUUUCAUUGAUCUGGAAUUAUCACGUUUUAUUGCAGCAGGGAAGCUUCAUUGCAAGAUUGAUAAGGUUGCAGGUGUUCUUGAAACUAACCGCCCUGAUGCAAAGAAUGCUCUUUACCAAGCUACUAUCAAGCAAGGAGAUUUCUUAUUAAACCGUAUCCAGAAGCUCUCACGUGUAAUUGAUCUGUGAAGUUUGUAGGCAUUUCUCGGUGGUUUGCCAAGGAUGCCAAAAUUUGCAUUUUCAAAGAAAAACAGAGGACAAGUAUCGUGAUCACACACGCUGAGAUCCAGUUCUCUUCUUUGCCAGUCCAAUUUCUGAAUUGGUAGACUCCAUAAGAUCAUAAAAAUUGUUGGUCUCCAGUAUUUAAGUUUAGCUUGAGAAUUCCAAGGAGGACCUCAAGAGUGUUUAGGAAGACGUCGAGAACAGUUCUUUCAGUAGUUUGUAUUUGCUCUUAAUUUUUGUUUUUUCUUUUCCUUUUUUUUUUUUUAUAUUUAUGCUGAAGUAAAAGAUAUGGAAAGUUGGGGUAUUAAACUAUGUAUGAGAUUUAACUAAAUGCAUCCACGGUCGAGUUAAAUCCGUA